GAACCAUCCCAAGCCCUCCCGAAUCUUCUUUUCUCUGCUCUUCUUACUGCCUCUCCCUCUGCCGCCUCUACCUCCAUCCCCGCCUUCUCCUCCUCUUCUCCCUCCCGUUCUUCUACCUCCUCCUCUCCCCUUCCUCCUCUAGCACCGCCAUCGGCUGUUCAUCUCCUUCUUCACUUUCUUUCUACCCUGACCUUCUCCUCCAUCCUCCUCCUCAUCCUCGCCCUCUCCCUCAAUGCCUUCUCUUUUCUCUCCAUGGGGAGCCAUUCGGUGAUCGUCUAAGCUUCCCAGUGAUCAUCUAAGCUUCCUUGUGAUCA
RNAcentral lists this long non-coding RNA (314 nucleotides) under Elaeis guineensis (African oil palm). Its description in RNAcentral is "long non-coding RNA (EGUI_LNC006260)". The record is from RNAcentral. Lineage: Eukaryota; Viridiplantae; Streptophyta; Magnoliopsida; Arecales; Arecaceae.